UUUGUAAUUGGAUUGAAGGCGACCCAAACCCUCGCCAGAAUACCAAUUGGAGGGCAAGUCUGGUGCCAGCAGCCGCGGUAAUUCCAGCUCCAAUAGCGUAUAUUAAACUUGUUGCAGUUAAAAAGCUCGUAAUUGAACUUCCGCCUUGCGCGUCCUGCGGGUCUGCGCGCGGCCUUUGCGUUACUUUGAUAAAAUUAUAGUGUUUCAAGCAGGCUUUCUCCGUGAAUACUUGAUCAUGGAAUAACUGGGCAGGACCUUGGUUCUUCUUUGUUGGUUUUGUACCUGGGUAAUGGUUAAUAGGAACGGUUGGGGGCAUUCGUAUUUAACUGUCAGAGGUGAAAUUCUAAGAGGGGGCAUUCUUAUUUAACUGUCAAAGGUGAAAUUCUUAAA
RNAcentral lists this ribosomal RNA (390 nucleotides) under Babesia ovis. RNAcentral's name for it is "bacterial SSU rRNA". It matches the Rfam family "Eukaryotic small subunit ribosomal RNA", at positions 502 to 976 of the family's 1831-position model. The record is from RNAcentral. Lineage: Eukaryota; Apicomplexa; Aconoidasida; Piroplasmida; Babesiidae.